This is a long non-coding RNA of Ananas comosus (pineapple), 463 nucleotides long. RefSeq lists it as uncharacterized. NCBI's taxonomy places the organism in Eukaryota, Viridiplantae, Streptophyta, Magnoliopsida, Poales, Bromeliaceae. The transcript is spliced from 2 exons. The record is from RefSeq and is a predicted model, not a curated record.
AACCACCUCCAUAGUUAUAAUAUAAAUUCUCUCUUAAUAUUUCUCCAUCUUGGUCUCAGAAGAAGAAGAAGAAAAGAGAGAGAGAGAGAGAGAGAGAGUAAAGUGAGAAGAGAAUAAGAGGAGGUAAAAUUAAAAAAAAAAAAUUGAAAAAAAUUGCGGAGAUGUUUGAGUUACUUGUUCUUGGAUGCACUAGCGUUGUUUUGUUUCUUCACGGAGCCAAUUUCUUCUUCCAUGCGAUCACUCAGCAGAUGAUCUUUCGCAGUACCAGCUUUCUCGGAUUCAUUGCGUGGUAGGAGAGGAUUACAUGGAGUUUAAUUAGGAUACCUAAAAAUAAAUAUUUGUACAGGAUUAGUAUUGAACUCAUUUAAAGAUGUAACUUAAUUUUUAUUUGUAAUAGAUUCUCUCUAAAUAAAUUGUCUUUUGAGUUUCUUUUAUUUGAUUUAAUACGUAUAAAGAGAGAGAA